UCUCUUUUCCUUUUUCUUCAAUUAGGUCCUCUCCUUUCUUUUCUUUCUCUUCAAUUUCAUAUAAAACAUAUAACAUUUAUAUGUUAGAGAAAAAUAAUUAAAUGACUUUCCUAUGCUAUUAAAAAAAAAUAAACAUGUAUGAUAUAAUAAAUUCAUCAUUUCUUACAUUAACUUACAUUUCAAUUUAUUCCAUAACUAAAAUUAUUUCCAUUUCUAUUACAAUCUAUGC
RNAcentral lists this long non-coding RNA (229 nucleotides) under Gossypium barbadense (sea-island cotton). RNAcentral describes it as "long non-coding RNA (GBAR_LNC007871)". Lineage: Eukaryota; Viridiplantae; Streptophyta; Magnoliopsida; Malvales; Malvaceae. The record is from RNAcentral.